CCUAGUGGUGAUAGCGGAGAGGAAACACUCGUUCCCAUCCCGAACACGGAAGUUAAGCUCUCCAGCGCCGAUGGUAGUUGGGGCCAGCGCCCCUGCAAGAGUAGGUCGCUGCUAGGC
This 117-nucleotide ribosomal RNA is filed under the name Geobacillus subterraneus. The record is from RNAcentral. Lineage: Bacteria; Bacillati; Bacillota; Bacilli; Caryophanales; Anoxybacillaceae. RNAcentral also lists the same sequence under 2 other names.